This 363-nucleotide ribosomal RNA is filed under the name uncultured bacterium. RNAcentral describes it as "partial 16S ribosomal RNA". It matches the Rfam family "Bacterial small subunit ribosomal RNA", at positions 338 to 698 of the family's 1533-position model. The record is from RNAcentral.
CCUACGGGUGGCAGCAGUGAGGAAUAUUGGUCAAUGGACGCAAGUCUGAACCAGCCAUGUCGCGUGCAGGAUGACGGCCCUAUGAGUUGUAAACUGCUUUUGUACGAGGGUAAACUCCGAUACGUGUACCGGGUUGAAAGUAUCGUAUGAAUAAGGAUCGGCUAACUCCGUGCCAGCAGCCGCGGUAAUACGGAGGAUCCGAGCGUUAUCCGGAUUUAUUGGGUUUAAAGGGUGCGUAGGCGGGUUGAUAAGUUAGAGGUGAAAGGUUGGGGCUCAACCCCGAAACUGCCUCUAAUACUGGUAGACUAGAGAAUAGUUGAGGUAGGCGGAAUGCGUGGUGUAGCGGUGAAAUGCUUAGAGAUC